UACGUAGGGGGCAAGCGUUGUCCGGAUUUAUUGGGCGUAAAGAGCGUGUAGGCGGCCAUACAGGUCAGCUGUGAAAACUCGAGGCUCAACCUCGAGACGUCGGUUGAAACCGUAGGGCUAGAGUCCGGAAGAGGAGAGUGGAAUUCCCGGUGUAGCGGUGAAAUGCGCAGAUAUCGGGAAGAACACCCGUGGCGAAGGCGGCUCUCUGGGACGGUACUGACGCUGAGAAGCGAAAGCGUGGGGAGCGAACAGG
RNAcentral lists this ribosomal RNA (253 nucleotides) under uncultured bacterium. RNAcentral describes it as "partial 16S ribosomal RNA". It matches the Rfam family "Bacterial small subunit ribosomal RNA", at positions 524 to 776 of the family's 1533-position model. The record is from RNAcentral.